UGGACUUUGGGCUGACUAACCUAUUGAAGUGGAUAGCAUCGGUUGAGCUGAGUCAUAUGGAGUAAUGUGUGGAAGUUUCACCAUAAACUUGCUAGGCUCAAAAGCUAUUGGGAAAAGGACGCAAUCUGCAACACGCAGUAGUUCGAGGUGGCGUCGCUGAUGGGUCUGGCCAAAGAAAAUGAGCUAAGCCAAAAUGGGUCCUUAAGUCAACCAAUUGAGGAGAUGUUCAGAAGCUAUGGGCCCUUUCUAGCAUUGCUAGUGAUGGAUUCAAAGUGAUUUAGAGGCGAGUUGGAUUCAAUGAGCAUGAAAUGUGAUGGUGCAAACGUUGAGGUAGAGCUAGGUUGGAUGGAGGAGUCGCUGUCUCUGUGAUAGCAUCACAAUAGGUGAGGAUGGAGCUAAGUGGCAUUCUAGUUUAGGUUAAAAAAAGGCUAUUUGUGUUUUUGGGUGAAACGGCAUUGAUGGGAGACGUUUUGGGGCUUAAGCAGAAGAGUUUUUAUGAAAAUUCCUAAAUCUAAAGGUCAAAAAUUAAAAUAAAAUAAAAUAA
RNAcentral lists this unclassified non-coding RNA (544 nucleotides) under Hevea brasiliensis (rubber tree). The record is from RNAcentral. Lineage: Eukaryota; Viridiplantae; Streptophyta; Magnoliopsida; Malpighiales; Euphorbiaceae.